GUAGGUGGCAAGCGUUGUCCGGAAUUAUUGGGCGUAAAGCGCGCGCAGGUGGUCCUUUAAGUCUGAUGUGAAAGCCCCCGGGCUCAACCGGGGAGGGUCAUUGGAAACUGGGGAACUUGAGUGCAGGAGAGGAAAGUGGAAUUCCACGUGUAGCGGUGAAAUGCGUAGAUAUAUGGAGGAACACCAGUGGCGAAGGCGACUUUCUGGCCUGUAACUGACACUGAGGCGCGAAAGCGUGGGGAGCAAACAGGAUUAGAUACCCUGGUAGUCCACGCCGUAAACGAUGAGUGCUAAGUGUUGGGGGGUUUCCGCCCCUCAGUGCUGCAGCUAACGCAUUAAGCACUCCGCCUGGGGAGUACGGUCGCAAAGACUG
This 373-nucleotide ribosomal RNA is filed under the name uncultured organism. Its description in RNAcentral is "partial 16S ribosomal RNA". It matches the Rfam family "Bacterial small subunit ribosomal RNA", at positions 527 to 896 of the family's 1533-position model. The record is from RNAcentral.